RNAcentral lists this ribosomal RNA (428 nucleotides) under uncultured archaeon. RNAcentral describes it as "bacterial SSU rRNA". It matches the Rfam family "Archaeal small subunit ribosomal RNA", at positions 474 to 903 of the family's 1478-position model. The record is from RNAcentral.
UACCAGCUCUUCGAGUGGUAGGGAUGAUUAUUGGGCUUAAAGCGUCCGUAGCCGGCUUAGCAAGUCUCCUGUUAAAUUCAGCGACCUAAUCGUUGAGCCGCGGGAGAUACUACUAGACUAGGAGGCGGGAGAGGUCGACGGUACUUCCGGGGUAGGGGUGAAAUCCUAUAAUCCCGGGAGGACCACCAGUGGCGAAGGCUGUCGACUAGAACGCGCUCGACGGUGAGGGACGAAAGCUGGGGGAGCGAACCGGAUUAGAUACCCGGGUAGUCCCAGCUGUAAACGAUGCGGGCUAGGUGUUGGGGUGGCUACGGGCCACUUCAGUGCCGCAGGGAAACCAUUAAGCCCGCCGCCUGGGGAGUACGGCCGCAAGGCUGAAACUUAAGGAAUUGGCGGGGGAGCACCACAAGGCGUGAAGCUUGCGGUUC